GAAAUGCGAUAAGUAAUGUGAAUUGCAGAAUUCAGUGAAUCAUCGAAUCUUUGAACGCACAUUGCGCCCGCCAGCACUCUGGCGGGCAUGCCUGUUCGAGCGUCAUUUCAACCAUCAAGCCCCCGGGCUUGCGUUGGGGACCUGCGGCGUCCCGCAGGCCCUGAAAACCAGGGGCGGGCUCGCUGUCACCCCGGUCGUAGUAGUAUCUUCUCGUCCAGGGCGUGGCGGCGGGCUCCGGCCGUUAAACCUUCCCACAUCCACAGGUUGACCUCGGAUCAGGUAGGAAUACCCGCUGGAUUUAA
This 302-nucleotide unclassified non-coding RNA is filed under the name uncultured Sordariomycetes. RNAcentral's name for it is "sequence contains ITS1". The stretch from base 1 to 105 matches the Rfam family "5.8S ribosomal RNA", at positions 50 to 154 of the family's 154-position model. Lineage: Eukaryota; Fungi; Ascomycota; Sordariomycetes. The record is from RNAcentral.